This 2007-nucleotide long non-coding RNA is filed under the name Cyanistes caeruleus (blue tit). RNAcentral's name for it is "lncRNA (ENSCCEG00000002152.1)". The record is from RNAcentral. Lineage: Eukaryota; Metazoa; Chordata; Aves; Passeriformes; Paridae.
CUGCUCUCCAUUUUAUUUAAGGAUCCAAAUGACUGAUACAAACAGUGGUAAUCAGCUCUAUUGCUAAUACAGGAUAUUUGGGCUGAGAGAUAACACUUAACCCCUAAGUGUGAAACAGCUCAUAAAUCACAGCCACUUUGUGGGGAAACUUAAGACCCUCUCCUGUGAGCAGAAAUCAGAUGAUAUCCUGCUGAGACCCAUUAUACUCCUUUCUCCAAAAUCUAAAGGUUAAAUAUAAAAAGAAAUUAAUGUAGAGAAGGAAGGAGAUCAGGGGAAGUGGGGACAGGAGUGGGUGGUUAAGAGGAAUGCAAAUACCCACAUAACUGGGUUAAUCUUAUCAGGACAGAUAAGACAAAGCUGGGGAGGACGUGGUUAUAGCUUGGAGGGAAAGCUCAGCUCUGGGGAAGUGGCAGGGCCUGGCAGAUGCCUCCUCAGUGCCUCAGAUGUAGGAUAAACCCUCACACCUCCCAGCACCUGCACAGAGGCAGCAGCACAGCUCCCUGCAGGUCCCUGCAGGUGUGAGGACACCAAGGGCACGUUAGGCUGUGCAAGGAUGUAGCUGUGUCAGGGCUAAUGGGUACCUAGAGCUGGAAAAGGCCUUGGAGCCCACCCUUGUCUGGUGAAAACGACCCUGCCUGGCAGCAGACACGGAGCCAAACCCACAGGUACCAUGGGUUACCUGCAGUCACAGCACAGUGGAUCAGUGUCAGGCCAGCACUGGGGAGUGAUGAUUUAACCCUUCCUAAAUGAAGAAACACAAAAGUCUAGCGAGGAACUUCUCUGUGUCCAGCACUAACAACAAUGUUAGGAGAGAGAAGAUGAGUGGAUUUUCUGGGAGGUCCUGUCCCACUGAACUGGUUCAUCUCUGCCAUCAAAUAUUUCCCUACGCUGCUCCAUCCCCAUGCACCAGCUGGAAAUUAUUCAUUGCAACUGCUCCCUUGAGGAUUCUUCUGUGUUUUGAGCAUGGAAAAGAGAGGCCCAUGAUGAUCCUCAAGGCUGACAGAUGAAGACACAUGCAUUGAGGAGAGACAGAUUAUGGAUCUCAGAACCCACUUGGGCCAUUAACUCUCGGAAUUCUCAGUAUUCUGCCCCUUCCAGAAGGAAUUCACAGGUUGGUGUAAAUGCAACUGCAGAAUUUUUGCAGUGGAAGACCCUACCUGACACCUAAAGGGACUCUGCAGUAUUUGACAAUUCCACUCCCUUGGGAGGCCAGGCUGGAGGACAGCAAUAAGAAACCAGUCCCAAACUGGUGUGAGCCCAGUGCUGCUGCAUGGGAGGAGUUAGCAGUGCUCUGACACAGACUGGGGGAGCAGCACACUUCAUGGGGAAACAUCUGUGGCUUAAAUCAGAUAAUCAAUACACACCUAAUCACACACAACUGUCCCUUUUGACAACAGGUAAACAGAAAUUACUUGAUUGGCUCUGCCAACACCAGAAUAGUUUCCAGGGAGACAUAAACACCGGGAAGAAGGAUGGGAAGCACCUCUCCACUGUGUAGGCAUGGUACCCACCGUGAAGCUGUGGUGUUAAACUUGACACAACCCAUGGAUGCAACUCCAGAGAACAAACUGUCUGAUCACAACAUGAAUGAAUGAGACCCCUGUGCAGAGAAGGACUAACCCUCACUGAAACACCUGACUGUGCACCUGAAAAUGGCUUUAUUCAUUCGUUCAUUCAUUCAAAAUCUCCUUCAAAACCUGUUCCUGGUCACACAGCUACAGGGACACGGGAGCCCCAGCUGAUAAACACAGCAGCAGCAGCAGCACACUGCCCCUCGGUCUCACACCUCAUGGCCCAAGGAAAAUUAACAGGAAGCCUGAAUCAAGUCCUUUAAAAAUGAAAAGGAGAGCAGAGCUCCAGGAAGCUGAUGGCAACAUUGAUAAUGAAAGCACAAAAGACAUUUCAUUUAAGACAAGAACUCCAGCUUGCUUGGAACAGGAGGGAACUGAGCCUGCUCGCUAUUCCUCUGUUCUCCCCCCUCACCUCCCCUGUACCUUCAGUGCCUUC